CACAGUUUGAUGAUUGUAUUCUUUGUUAUUGAAAGGGUCUCUUUGUUUGUUAUAUCCAUAGACUGUGGUGCUUUACUCAAUUAGAUCUACUGCCACCUGUUGUUUAUAAGUUUCUGGAGCUAGGCUACAUGUACAGUACAUGUUACAUGGUAUCUUGGAAGGCCUGCUAUCACUGUGAUGUCAAAUUCCACUCCAUUACGUUUCAUCACUUACCUGUCGCCAAGCGUUCCAGUGGGACUAUUCGAAGCAGUCGUGCACUAUCUUGAAGAGUCACUAGGACGGGAAAUACAACUCAUAUAUGAGUCAAGAUGGAGUGGACCACCCUCUGACAGGGUCGACCCUUUCACUGCUAAUAAUGCUGAUAUAGGUGUGAUGUGCAGUUCUGUCUUCCUGAAACUUGUCGAGGAGAAGAAAACCUCCAUUGAGUUCCUUGAACUGGGGGCUGUCCAUACACAUCCAAGAAGUGAAGCAAGGCCAAUAUACUUUGGGGACAUUGUUGUACAUAGUGAUAACAAAGAUAAGUUUGAUAACUUUGAAAAGUUGAAAGGCUGCAAAUGGGGGUAUAAUGAUCCUGAAUCCCUCAGUGGAAACAUAAGUGUACUAGCUCAUCUUAAGAAAUGUGGAACAAAUGCCAGCUUCUUUGGACAUAUCAUACAAUCAGGUUCCCAUAUAGAGUCACUGAAAAUGAUACUCCACAAGACUAUAGAUGCCGCUGCUGUAGACUCAAACUCAUUGAUCAACUUUGUGAACAGCUAUCCUGAACAACGAGAAAAUCUACAUGUGAUGACAUCAUUAGGUCCAUUUCCCAUAUACCCCUUUGUGGCCAACUCUAGAUUGCCAGCUGAAACCAAAACCAAAAUAAAAGAAGCUUUGCUCAAUAUGCAUAAAUCGGUGACCUGGGAGGAAAAACUACAGAAAUAUGGCGUGCAAAAGUUUACAAAGACAGACAUGUCUCUAUAUGAUAAAGAGAAAGAGAUUAAAGAAUAUAUGAAAGGAUUAAAGAUUGAAACUGUAUAUUACUGAUAUUUGUGUAGCCCAGCAAUUGUUGUAUACUACAAGAAAACCUGUGUACGUGGAACACCUUUGAUAUCUCUUAUGAUGUUCCUCCACUUGUAGUGGUUCAUUUAACAUUAGCUCAGGAGGUAU
RNAcentral lists this unclassified non-coding RNA (1146 nucleotides) under Owenia fusiformis. Its description in RNAcentral is "misc RNA OFUS_LOCUS24544". Lineage: Eukaryota; Metazoa; Annelida; Polychaeta; Sabellida; Oweniidae. The record is from RNAcentral.